Molecule: transfer RNA, 88 nt
Filed under: Porphyromonadaceae bacterium
Lineage: Bacteria; Pseudomonadati; Bacteroidota; Bacteroidia; Bacteroidales; Porphyromonadaceae
Also listed under: 1 other name
Description: tRNA-Ser
Rfam family: tRNA
About the family: Transfer RNA (tRNA) molecules are approximately 80 nucleotides in length. Their secondary structure includes four short double-helical elements and three loops (D, anti-codon, and T loops).
Source: RNAcentral
GGAGCGAUGCUCGAGUGGCUGAAGAGGCACGCCUGGAAAGCGUGUAUACGCCAAAAGCGUAUCGGGGGUUCGAAUCCCCCUCGCUCCG